RNAcentral lists this ribosomal RNA (352 nucleotides) under uncultured Allobrachymonas sp. RNAcentral's name for it is "bacterial SSU rRNA". It matches the Rfam family "Bacterial small subunit ribosomal RNA", at positions 1025 to 1382 of the family's 1533-position model. The record is from RNAcentral. Lineage: Bacteria; Pseudomonadati; Pseudomonadota; Betaproteobacteria; Burkholderiales; Comamonadaceae.
AGCCAGAACACAGGUGCUGCAUGGCUGUCGUCAGCUCGUGUCGUGAGAUGUUGGGUUAAGUCCCGCAACGAGCGCAACCCUUGCCAUUAGUUGCUACGAAAGGGCACUCUAAUGGGACUGCCGGUGACAAACCGGAGGAAGGUGGGGGAUGACGUCAAGUCCUCAUGGCCCUUAUAGGUGGGGCUACACACGUCAUACAAUGGCCGGUACAGAGGGUAGCCAACCCGCGAGGGGGAGCCAAUCCCACAAAGCCGGUCGUAGUCCGGAUCGCAGUCUGCAACUCGACUGCGUGAAGUCGGAAUCGCUAGUAAUCGCGGAUCAGCAUGUCGCGGUGAAUACGUUCCCGGGUCUU